UUGUAGUCACCUGAAU
RNAcentral lists this small RNA (16 nucleotides) under Bombyx mori (domestic silkworm). Its description in RNAcentral is "ovarian small RNA-38080". Lineage: Eukaryota; Metazoa; Arthropoda; Insecta; Lepidoptera; Bombycidae. The record is from RNAcentral.